UACGAAGGGGGCUAGCGUUGCUCGGAAUCACUGGGCGUAAAGCGCACGUAGGCGGCUUGUUAAGUCAGGGGUGAAAUCCUGGAGCUCAACUCCAGAACUGCCUUUGAUACUGGCGAUCUCGAGUCCGGGAGAGGUGAGUGGAACUGCGAGUGUAGAGGUGAAAUUCGUAGAUAUUCGCAAGAACACCAGUGGCGAAGGCGGCUCACUGGCCCGGUACUGACGCUGAGGCACGAAAGCGUGGGGAGCAAACAGG
Molecule: ribosomal RNA, 253 nt
Filed under: uncultured bacterium
Lineage: Bacteria
Description: partial 16S ribosomal RNA
Rfam family: Bacterial small subunit ribosomal RNA
Source: RNAcentral